CUAAGAAUAUUUCCGCAAUGGACGAAAGUCUGACGGAGCGACGCCGCGUGGAUGAUGAAGGCCGGAAGGUUGUAAAAUCCUUUAUGACUGAGGAAUAAGUGAAGUGAGGGAAACGCUUCAUGGUGACUGUAGGUCAUGGAUAAGCAACGGCUAAUUACGUGCCAGCAGCCGCGGUAACACGUAAGUUGCGAGCGUUGUUCGGAAUUAUUGGGCGUAAAGGGUAUGUAGGCGGUUCUGCAAGUCUGGUGUGAAAUGCCGGGGCUCAACCCCGGAACUGCGUUGGAAACUGCAGGACUUGAAUCGCUGAGGGGCAGCCAGAAUUCCAGGUGUA
RNAcentral lists this ribosomal RNA (331 nucleotides) under uncultured Treponema sp. RNAcentral's name for it is "bacterial SSU rRNA". It matches the Rfam family "Bacterial small subunit ribosomal RNA", at positions 355 to 677 of the family's 1533-position model. The record is from RNAcentral. Lineage: Bacteria; Pseudomonadati; Spirochaetota; Spirochaetia; Treponematales; Treponemataceae.